AUUCGCCCUUCCCUAUGGGGUGCAGCAGGCGAGAAAACUUUGCAAUGUGCGAAAGCACGACAAGGUUAAUCCGAGUGGCUUCUGUUGAAGUAGCCUUUUGACAGUCCUAAAAACACUGUUGAAUAAGGGGUGGGCAAGUUCUGGUGUCAGCCGCCGCGGUAAAACCAGCACCUCAAGUGGUCAGGAGGAUUAUUGGGCCUAAAGCAUCCGUAGCCUGCUCUGUAAGUUUCCGGUUAAAUCCAUUAGCUCAACUAAUGGGCUGCCGGAAAAACUGCAAAGCUAGGAAGUGGGAGAGGUAGACGGUACUCGGUAGGAAGGGGUAAAAUCCUUUGAUCUAUUGAUGACCACCUGUGGCGAAGGCGGUCUACCAGAACACGUUCGACGGUGAGGGAUGAAAGCUGGGGGAGCAAACCGGAUUAGAUACCCGGGUAGUCCCAGCUGUAAACGAUGCAGACUCGGUGAUGCCCUGGCUUGUGGCCAGUGCAGUGCCGCAGGGAAGCCGUUAAGUUUGCCGCCUGGGAAGUACGUACGCAAGUAUGAAACUUAAAGGAAUUGGCGGGGGAGCACCACAAGGGGUGAAGCCUGCGGUUCAAUUGGAGUCAACGCCAGAAAUCUUACCCGGAGAGACAGCAGAAUGAAGGUCAAGCUGAAGACUUUACCAGACAAGCUGAGAGGUGGUGCAUGGCC
This 687-nucleotide ribosomal RNA is filed under the name uncultured archaeon. RNAcentral's name for it is "bacterial SSU rRNA". It matches the Rfam family "Archaeal small subunit ribosomal RNA", at positions 311 to 999 of the family's 1478-position model. The record is from RNAcentral.